Monomorium pharaonis (pharaoh ant) is the source of this 1986-nucleotide RNA transcript. It is a transcript of the gene named caspase-3, with no coding region annotated. The transcript has 8 exons. Lineage: Eukaryota; Metazoa; Arthropoda; Insecta; Hymenoptera; Formicidae. The record is from RefSeq and is a predicted model, not a curated record.
GUCAAUGAUCUUUCCUGUUAUUCUUUACUCUAUGGUCGAUAUGACAACUAUUCUAACCUGACUAGUAGUAAAUUUUAAUGAUAAAUAUCUUGUUUUGCAAGAAAGGGCGACAUUUUUCUUUAUCAUAUUCUUGCGUUUCGUGCAAAAAUGCAUUGAAGAAGUAUGAUUUUAUAUUAUAUCGAUAUUGGAGAUGAACAGGAACAUUAUUAAUGACAUAUAGUUUACGAUGUCAUUAUCAUUGGAUGCAAUUGCAUGUAGUGUAGCAGAAACUGUUAUUAACACAAAUAUUCUAAAGAAGAUAGAGGAUGAUCUAGAAAUAGAUGAGAAAAUUUCAAUAUUAUUUUUAAUAAUAGACAAUUAUGCAAAUGGAUUUAAUGAUAUUUUUAAACUUCUUCAAACAAAGACAGAAAAUGCUUACAUAAUUACGGAUUAUGUAAGACACCAUCCAGAAAAUUGGAAAGAGAAAAUCUUGGAAGCAAUAUGUAUUUUGAACAACCGAGAAGUGAUAAGAAAAUUAAAAUUGUCAUUUAGCGAUUUAAAUUUAAAGUAUGUUCCAAACGUCAGAUCAUAUUCGAGAAAUCUAAAUAUAGUUGCAAAAUGUUUGUACAGAUUAUGUGAAUCUUUAAAUAAUGUAGAACAAAAGUUAUUGUUAAACUGUGUUAAAUCUGAAAACUGUAAUUAUGAACAAAAACUGGACAACAAAGAUUAUCUUGAAUUACACAUGCUUUACUGGAUACAAAUUAACUAUAUAACAAUUUCAAAGGAUGAAACCUGUAAUAUGAAAAAUUUAUUGAAACAUUUGCAAACAUUAAAAAAUGGAUAUUUAAGAAUAAUUUGUAUGGACUUGGAGAAAUUUGAAAAUAGUCUACAUGUUGUUGACAAUCGCAGAACUUGUGGAACAAAUAAUGAAAAUUAUUUACAAUCAACUCUUCCAGAAGAAUUAUCUCAUAUUGAGAGACAUUAUUACGGAAAAAAGAUCAUUAAUAGUGGAUUGUGUAUCAUUAUAAAUCAGAUGAAUUUUAGAAAAGAAUAUGAAACGCGACAUGGAACAAAAGCAGAUAGUAAUCAUUUAUCUGAAACGUUUAAAACUUUUGGGUUCAAAACUGAAAUUCAUCAAGAUCUAAAGAAAAGUAAAAUGUUAGAAAAAAUUAGAAAUAUUUCAAAAGACUAUGGUAAUAAAUACGAUUGUUUAUUUCUUUGUAUUUUGAGUCAUGGAUAUAAAGGAGGUGUAAUAUCAUCAGAUGAGAAAGAAGUUUCUUUAGAAGCAAUUGAAAGGGCUAUUUGUUGUAUAGAAUUAAAAGAUGUUAUAAAAAUUGUUAUUAUUCAAGCCUGUCAAGGAAAGAUACGUGGAAGCAUAGGUAAUAAUUUCUUGACAACAGAUGAUUUAUCUGAUUCUUUUGCACCUGUAGAAGAUAUACGUCAGUUUGCUAACUUUUUUAUGUUUAUGUCAACAAUACAAGGUUUUUUAUCGAUACGUCAUAAAGAGGAAGGUUGAGUAUUGGGAUAAUAUUGCUAACGUAAUUAAUGCAGCUGCAGAAAGACCCCGAAAAAACGGGAAGGAAUGGGCAAAUAUAUGGAAAAAUAUAAAAGCUUAUAUAUUAAAAAAGGAAUCAAAAAGACGCAGCCAUACGCAAGGAACAGGAGGUGGCUCUCCUUCUAAAAUAGUUUUGUCUAACUUCGAAGAAGAAGUUUUGGAACUUUUAACGCCUGAAGCAGCAGGCUUAUUAAAUAUUCCUGAAGGAGGUCUAAACAUUGAAGCUGCAGGCUUAUUAAAUAUUCCUGAAGGUGGUCUAAACAUUGAAGCAGCUUGUUUACAAAAUCCUGAAGGUGAUAGAAAUGUUGAGGAUGAAGAAUCUUGUUUACUAUGUAUUCCUGAAACCGAAUUAAAUAUUGAACCACAAGUAUUACAUACAGAAAAUAAUAUAGAAAAUAUAUCCCCGAAUAUAUUAUAACAUGGAAAGAAAAGUUAUACGAAACAAGCAAAAA